GACGUAGGAGGCGAGCGUUGUCCGGAUUCAUUGGGCGUAAAGAGCGCGCAGGCGGCUUGGUAAGUCGGAUGUGAAAACCCGAGGCUCAACCUCGGGCGUGCAUCCGAAACUGCUCGGCUAGAGGUAGGUAGGGGAGAUCGGAAUUCCUGGUGUAGCGGUGAAAUGCGCAGAUAUCAGGAGGAACACCGGUGGCGAAGGCGGUGGUCUGGGCCGGCACUGACGCUGAGGAGCGAAAGCGUGGGGAGCAAACAGG
This 253-nucleotide ribosomal RNA is filed under the name uncultured bacterium. Its description in RNAcentral is "partial 16S ribosomal RNA". It matches the Rfam family "Bacterial small subunit ribosomal RNA", at positions 524 to 776 of the family's 1533-position model. The record is from RNAcentral.